UGAGGGGCAGUUUCCUAGUUUUGCUCAUUGAUUUUCCAAGGGGUAAAAUGAAUGGGUUGCCCCUGAACUUUAGGUGAUUUUGGUAUUUAACCCUUUUCUUUUGGUCAAUGCAAAUCGAGCCCCUUUCUGUUCGAAAAUUUGUAUAUUGAGCCCAAGGUGUCACAUUGGCGUUGACCUGCUGACAUAUCAUGCGUGGCGCCUACGUGGCACCGUUGAUGUCAACUUUAAUCAAAUGAAUUCCUAAAAAGAUGUCACUACCCAGAUUUGAUCCCAAAACCUCAAGUUUGAGGUUUUGGGCAAAAGACCACUCCAGCACCAUAAGCUUAACUACUAAAUUACCCAAAGAAUAUUGCUAUAUACUAAAUCAAUUCAUAACAACUAAAUAAAACAAAAGGAGAUGACGAAGAAAGGGGGAGGAGAAUUAUUUUGAUAAAUAUUUUAUAACAAUAAUACUAGCAACAACAACAAUAAUAAUAAUAACAUUAAUAAUAAUAAUAACAAUAAUAAUAAUAAUAAUAACAUUAAUAAUAAUAACAAUAAUACUAAUAAUAAC
This 553-nucleotide long non-coding RNA is filed under the name Panax ginseng (ginseng). RNAcentral's name for it is "long non-coding RNA (PGIN_LNC012803)". The record is from RNAcentral. Lineage: Eukaryota; Viridiplantae; Streptophyta; Magnoliopsida; Apiales; Araliaceae.